GGUCUUAUAGUGUAGUGGUUAACACGUGGAGCGUACCCCUCCGAGACCUAGGUUCGAUUCCUAGUAAGACCC
Molecule: transfer RNA, 72 nt
Filed under: Cadophora sp. M221
Lineage: Eukaryota; Fungi; Ascomycota; Leotiomycetes; Helotiales; Ploettnerulaceae
Rfam family: tRNA
About the family: Transfer RNA (tRNA) molecules are approximately 80 nucleotides in length. Their secondary structure includes four short double-helical elements and three loops (D, anti-codon, and T loops).
Source: Rfam by way of RNAcentral